GACGUAGGGGGCCAGCGUUGUUCGGAAUUACUGGGUGUAAAGGGUUCGUAGGCGGUGCGGCAAGUCGGGUGUGAAAUCUCUGGGCUUAACCCAGAGGCUGCUUCCGAAACUGCUGUGCUUGAGUGUGGGAGAGGCGCGUGGAAUUGCAGGUGUAGCGGUGAAAUGCGUAGAUAUCUGCAGGAACACCCGUGGCGAAAGCGGCGCGCUGGACCAGUACUGACGCUGAGUGAACGAAAGCUAGGGGAGCAAACAGG
RNAcentral lists this ribosomal RNA (254 nucleotides) under uncultured bacterium. RNAcentral's name for it is "partial 16S ribosomal RNA". It matches the Rfam family "Bacterial small subunit ribosomal RNA", at positions 524 to 776 of the family's 1533-position model. The record is from RNAcentral.